This 277-nucleotide ribosomal RNA is filed under the name uncultured bacterium. RNAcentral describes it as "partial 16S ribosomal RNA". It matches the Rfam family "Bacterial small subunit ribosomal RNA", at positions 32 to 319 of the family's 1533-position model. The record is from RNAcentral.
AAUCAACGCUGGCGGCGUGCCUAACACAUGCAAGUCGAGCGAGAAAGUGGAGCAAUCCAUGAGUACAGCGGCGCACGGGUGAGUAACACGUGACUAACCUACCCUCGAGUGGGGAAUAACUUCGGGAAACCGAGGCUAAUACCGCAUAAUACCCACGGGUCAAAAGAGCAAUCUGCUUGAGGAGGGGGUCGCGGCCGAUUAGUUAGUUGGCGGGGUAAUGGCCCACCAAGACGAUGAUCGGUAUCCGGCCUGAGAGGGCGCACGGACACACUGGAAC